This is a long non-coding RNA of Triticum aestivum (bread wheat), 1393 nucleotides long. RefSeq lists it as uncharacterized. The transcript has 3 exons. NCBI's taxonomy places the organism in Eukaryota, Viridiplantae, Streptophyta, Magnoliopsida, Poales, Poaceae. The record is from RefSeq and is a predicted model, not a curated record.
AGAUUGUUGCUCUCAAAUUAAUUUGGUUGUGCCACAAUCUGUCUGAUUUUGGUAGCAUUGUCAGAAUGGUUUAUAGUGUCCUGGCUAAUUUUUGAAGGCAUCAUUAUGUUUCCUCGGUCAAACACUUCAUCUGGAUAAAAGAAGCAGAGAACAUGUAACAGUUAUUUACCAGGUUUUAAACGCUUUAUCCAUUGAAUCACUAGGCCACGCCAAAACACUUAAUUGUUUGAUGUACCAAUUUAUUCUUCCUUUUUUUAUGUCUGGACCAAGAUAAAUCAUGUUUUCCCUGCUGUUUGCAAAAGUCACAGCAUGGUUACUACCCCAAUUGAUCUGACCUGUAUCUGUAUGUUUCUCUUGCAGGCGUGCAAGCAGCCGGCAUUCCGAUAAGAAUCAGUGGGGUUAACAAACAUGGUUGGAAGUACAUAAAGGCGUCGUUGGAAGAUAUCCCUGGAGCAGAGCCGCCAUCCGUCACCGCUGCUUAGUCAGUUACCCAGCUAGAUAUUUAGCAGGCUGCAAAACUGGUCCCUGCGGAAGCUUAGUGCUGAAACUAUUCAGAAGUGCGAACACGGAUCAGUUGCUGCUCUAAACCCAACAAUUCGGAGGAGGAAUGCACGAGAAGCGAGUCCCCCAGCGAUGCCAAGGCUCGGUGAGGGAUGCUCCACCAGCAUCCUGGUGCUUGGCGGUGGACGACAAGGACUUCCUCGCGCAUGAGGUGUCUUCUAAGAUCUACGGCGACAAGGUAAUCUCACUCUCUUCAACCCUGGUUGUUUUGUGUGUGCGGUUGCUGCAGAUGGUGGUCUGUGUGGAUCUUGUUAUAGUGAGAAUGUUAUGCUGGUGCUGGCUUGAAAGAAGGGCAGAAAUGCUCAACAAUCUAUUUCCUGCAGCAUUUAGCUAUUUACAUUAUGAAAUAUGUGGACAGUAGGUAUGUUUCCCAUGUUAUAUGGUAAUAACUAUACAUGUUAUUGUUGAGUUUGCUGUGUGUUUAUAGAAUGACAUGGUUGGCUAAUUAAGCCCUGUCCGUGUAUCUUUUAGAAUUUGCUUCAUUGGUAGCACAUUCAGAUAUAUUAAUUAAUUUUGUGCAUGUUGGAGAAUUUAGACGAUGAUAACAAACUGUAAUCACGAAUACUUGUAUAGAAACUUGCACGACCAUCUUGUUUAAUUUUGUGAUAUUCCUCCAUACUAGGAGCUAAUCAGCUGCACUAUUAUUCAGCUUUCAUUGGCAGAUUUAAUUUCACUGAAAUCAUGUUUUCUUUUCUAUGCCCAUGUUCAAGCCUGGUAGUAUAUUUUUUUCCAAAUGGUCUGUUUACUUGAUUUAUCUGUUGUUUGAUUUUGCUCCAUCAGCUUUCCUGAUGUCCUUCUACAUAUGUAUGUUGGUUGUAAUCUUCUUGAAGAA